RNAcentral lists this ribosomal RNA (401 nucleotides) under uncultured bacterium. RNAcentral describes it as "bacterial SSU rRNA". It matches the Rfam family "Bacterial small subunit ribosomal RNA", at positions 359 to 777 of the family's 1533-position model. The record is from RNAcentral.
GAAUAUUGGACAAUGGGCGAAAGCCUGAUCCAGCAAUGCCGCGUGAGUGAUGAAGGCCUUAGGGUUGUAAAGCACUUUUACCAGGGAUGAUAAUGACAGUACCUGGAGAAUAAGCUCCGGCUAACUCCUUGCCAGCAGACGCGGUAAUACGGAGGGAGCGAGCGUUGUUCGGAAAUACUGGGCGUAAAGCGCACGUAGGCGGCUUUUUAAGUCAGGGGUGAAAUCCCGGGGCUCAACCCCGGAACUGCCCUUGAAACUGGAUCGCUAGAAUAUUGGAGAGGCAAGUGGAAUUCCGAGUGUAGAGGUGAAAUUCGUAGAUAUUCGGAAGAACACCAGUGGCGAAGGCGACUUGCUGGACAAUUAUUGACGCUGAGGUGCGAAAGCGUGGGGAGCAAACAGGA